This 560-nucleotide ribosomal RNA is filed under the name uncultured soil bacterium S0155. RNAcentral's name for it is "bacterial SSU rRNA". It matches the Rfam family "Bacterial small subunit ribosomal RNA", at positions 207 to 759 of the family's 1533-position model. The record is from RNAcentral.
GCAAGCUACCGCUUCUUGAUGAGCCCGCGGCNUAUCAGCUAGUUGGUGAGGUAAAGGCUCACCAAGGCGAUGACGGGUAGCUGGUCUGAGAGGACGACCAGCCACACUGGAACUGAGAGACGGUCCAGACACCUACGGGUGGCAGCAGUCGAGAAUUUUUCUCAAUGGGGGCAACCCUGAAGGAGCGACGCCGCGUGGAGGAUGAAGGUCUUCGGAUUGUAAACUCCUGUCAUUAGGGAACAAUUGUCAUGGGAAUAACUGCCCGUGGCUUGAUAGUACCUGAAGAGGAAGAGACGGCUAACUCUGUGCCAGCAGCCGCGGUAAUACAGAGGUCUCAAGCGUUGUUCGGAUUCAUUGGGCGUAAAGGGUGCGUAGGUGGCGGGGCCAGUCAGGUGUGAAAUCCCGGGGCUUAACCCUGGAACUGCAUUUGAUACUGCCUUGCUAGAGAACUGGAGAGGAGACUGGAAUUUACGGUGUAGCAGUGAAAUGCGUAGAGAUCGUAAGGAAGACCAGUGGCGAAGGCGAGUCUCUGGACAGUUACUGACACUGAGGCACGAAGG